Molecule: ribosomal RNA, 747 nt
Filed under: uncultured Chloroflexota bacterium
Lineage: Bacteria; Bacillati; Chloroflexota
Description: bacterial SSU rRNA
Rfam family: Bacterial small subunit ribosomal RNA
Source: RNAcentral
CAGGUCGGCUUGCAUGAGACUGCAGUCAAACGGGCGAUCGAAGCUUGCUUUGGUCGCUAGUGGCGGACGGCUGAGUAACGCGUAGGUGACCUGCCCCGAAGUGGGGAAUAACUGCCCGAAAGGGUGGCUAAUACCGCAUGUGGUGGCGUGUUCGUUCACGCCAGUAAAGCCGCAAGGCGCUUCGGGAGGGGCCUGCGUACGAUUAGCUCGUUGGUGGGGUAACGGCUCACCAAGGCGACGAUCGUUAGGUGGUCUGAGAGGACGAUCACCCAGACUGGGACUGAGACACGGCCCAGACUCCUACGGGAGGCAGCAGUCGGGAAUUUUGCGCAAUGGACGAAAGUCUGACGCAGCAACGCCGCGUGAGGGAUGAAGGCCUUCGGGUUGUAAACCUCUUUUCCCAGGGACGAUAGUGACGGUACCUGGGGAAUAAGCCACGGCUAACUACGUGCCAGCAGCCGCGGUAAUACGUAGGUGGCGAGCGUUGUCCGGAUUUACUGGGCGUAAAGAGCGCGCAGGCGGCUCUUCAAGUCGAAUGUGAAAGCCCCCGGCUCAACUGGGGAGGGUCAUUCGAUACUGAUGGGCUCGAAGGCGGGAGAGGGAAGUGGAAUUCCGGGUGUAGUGGUGAAAUGCGUAGAUAUCCGGAGGAACACCAGUGGCGAAGGCGACUUCCUGGCCCGUUCUUGACGCUGAGGCGCGAAAGCUAGGGUAGCAAACGGGAUUAGAUACCCCGGUAGUCCUAGCCGU